UCCUAGUUAACCUAGGCAGUCUCAUUAGAGUUCCCACCAUUACGUGUUGGCAACUAAUGAUAAGGGUUGCGCUCGUUGCGGGACUUAACCCAACACCUCACGGCACGAGCUGACGACAGCCAUGCAGCACCUGUGCACAGGCUCCGAAGAGAGGUAACAUCUCUGUUACUGUCCUGUGCAUGUCAAGCCUGGGUAAGGUUCUUCGCGUUGCAUCGAAUUAAACCACAUGCUCCACUGCUUGUGCGGGUCCCCGUCAAUUCUUUUGAGUUUCAGCCUUGCGACUGUACUCCCCAGGCGGUAUACUUAUCGCGUUCGCUACGGCACAACCAGGGUUGAUUCCGGUUACACCAAGUAUACAUCGUUUACGGCAAGGACUAC
Molecule: unclassified non-coding RNA, 378 nt
Filed under: uncultured Parachlamydiaceae bacterium
Lineage: Bacteria; Pseudomonadati; Chlamydiota; Chlamydiia; Parachlamydiales; Parachlamydiaceae
Description: contains 16S-23S intergenic spacer region
Source: RNAcentral